Molecule: ribosomal RNA, 253 nt
Filed under: uncultured bacterium
Lineage: Bacteria
Description: partial 16S ribosomal RNA
Rfam family: Bacterial small subunit ribosomal RNA
Source: RNAcentral
UACAGAGGUCUCAAGCGUUGUUCGGAUUCAUUGGGCGUAAAGGGUGCGUAGGCGGCGCGGUAAGUCGGGUGUGAAAUCUCGGAGCUUAACUCCGAAACUGCAUUCGAUACUGUCGUGCUUGAGGACUGGAGAGGAGACUGGAAUUUACGGUGUAGCGGUGAAAUGCGUAGAUAUCGUAAGGAAGACCAGUGGCGAAGGCGGGUCUCUGGACAGUUCCUGACGCUGAGGCACGAAGGUCAGGGGAGCAAACAGG